UACAGAGGGUGCAAGCGUUGUUCGGAAUUAUUGGGCGUAAAGGGCGCGCAGGCGGUACGGCACGUCCGUUGUGAAAUCGCUCGGCUCAACUGGGCGGGGUCAGCGGAUACGGCCGCACUUGAGCAAGCUAGGGGGCAAUGGAAUUCCCGGUGUAGUGGUGGAAUGCGUAGAGAUCCGGAAGAACACCGGUGGCGAAGGCGGUCUGCUGGGCAGUUGCUGACACUGAGGCGCGACAGCGUGGGGAGCAAACAGG
This 253-nucleotide ribosomal RNA is filed under the name uncultured bacterium. RNAcentral's name for it is "partial 16S ribosomal RNA". It matches the Rfam family "Bacterial small subunit ribosomal RNA", at positions 524 to 776 of the family's 1533-position model. The record is from RNAcentral.